This 443-nucleotide ribosomal RNA is filed under the name uncultured bacterium. RNAcentral describes it as "partial 16S ribosomal RNA". It matches the Rfam family "Bacterial small subunit ribosomal RNA", at positions 338 to 795 of the family's 1533-position model. The record is from RNAcentral.
CCUACGGUGUGCAGCAGUGGGGAAUAUUGGACAAUGGGGGGAACCCUGAUCCAGCGACGCCGCGUGAGUGAAGAAGUAUUUCGGUAUGUUAAGCUCUAUCAGCAGGGAAGAAAGACAUGACGGUACCUGACUAAGAAGCCCCGGCUAACUACGAGCCAGGAGCCGCGGUAAUACGUAGGGUGCAAGCGUUAUCCGGAUUUACUGGGUGUAAAGGGCGCGUAGACGGAUAGGCAAGUCUGGAGUGAAAGGCGGGGGCCCAACCCCCGGAUUGCUUUGGAAACUGUAUAACUGUAGUGCAGGAGAGGUAAGUGGAAUUCCUAGUGUAGCGGUGAAAUGCGUAGAUAUUAGGAGGAACACCAGUGGCGAAGGCGGCUUACUGGACUGUAACUGACGUUGAGGCUCGAAAGCGUGGGGAGCAAACAGGAUUAGAUACCCCGGUAGUC